AGAGUUUGAUCCUGGCUCAGAUUGAACGCUGGCGGCAGGCUUAACACAUGCAAGUCGAGCGGAGAUGAGGUGCUUGCACCUUAUCUUAGCGGCGGACGGGUGAGUAAUGCUUAGGAAUCUGCCUAUUAGUGGGGGACAACAUUCCGAAAGGAAUGCUAAUACCGCAUACGUCCUACGGGAGAAAGCAGGGGAUCUUCGGACCUUGCGCUAAUAGAUGAGCCUAAGUCGGAUUAGCUAGUUGGUGGGGUAAAGGCCUACCAAGGCGACGAUCUGUAGCGGGUCUGAGAGGAUGAUCCGCCACACUGGGACUGAGACACGGCCCAGACUCCUACGGGAGGCAGCAGUGGGGAAUAUUGGACAAUGGGGGGAACCCUGAUCCAGCCAUGCCGCGUGUGUGAAGAAGGCCUUAUGGUUGUAAAGCGCUUUAAGCGAGGAGGAGGCUACUGAGACUAAUACUCUUGGAUAGUGGACGUUACUCGCAGAAUAAGCACCGGCUAACUCUGUGCCAGCAGCCGCGGUAAUACAGAGGGUGCGAGCGCUAAUCGGAAUUACUGGGCGUAAAGCGCACGCAGGCGGUUGGAUAAGUUAGAUGUGAAAGCC
Molecule: ribosomal RNA, 600 nt
Filed under: uncultured bacterium
Lineage: Bacteria
Description: bacterial SSU rRNA
Rfam family: Bacterial small subunit ribosomal RNA
Source: RNAcentral